CAGGGAUUGCCUUAGUAACGGCGAGUGAAGCGGCAAUAGCUCAAAUUUGAAAUCUGGCGCUUGCGUCCGAGUUGUAAUUUGUAGAGGAUGAUUUUGGUUAGGUACCUUUCGAGUUCCUUGGAACAGGACGCCUUAGAGGGUGAGAGCCCCGUACGAUUGGAUGCCGAGCCUCUGUAAAUCUCCUUCGACGAGUCGAGUAGUUUGGGAAUGCUGCUCUAAAUGGGAGGUAAAUUUCUUCUAAAGCUAAAUACCGGCCAGAGACCGAUAGCGCACAAGUAGAGUGAUCGAAAGAUGAAAAGCACUUUGAAAAGAGGGUUAAAUAGCACGUGAAAUUGUUGAAAGGGAAGGAUUUAUGACCAGACUUUUUCUAGGAGGAUCAUCCGGUGUUCUCACCGGUGCACUUCUUCUAGUUUAGGCCAGCAUCGACUUCUGGCGGCGGAUAAAAGCUUUAGGAAUGUGGCUCCCUACGGGGAGUGUUAUAGCCUAUUGUAUAAUACGCUGCUGGGGGUCGAGGUACGCGCUUCUGCAAGGAUGCUGGCGUAAUGGUUAUCAAUCACCCGUCUUGAAACACGGACCAAGGAGUCGAACAUUUAUGCGAGUGUUUGGGUGUUAAACCCUCACGCGUAAUGAAAGUGAACGGAGGUGAGAGCCCUUACGGGUGCAUCAUCGACCGAUCCUGAAGUUUUCGGAUGGAUUUGAGUAAGAGCAUAACUGUUCGGACCCGAAAGAUGGUGAACUAUGCGUGGAUAGGGUGAAGCCAGAGGAAACUCUGGUGGAGGCUCGCAGCGGUUCUGACGUGCAAAUCGAUCGUCAAAUCUGCGCAUGGGG
Molecule: ribosomal RNA, 828 nt
Filed under: Heterotruncatella spartii
Lineage: Eukaryota; Fungi; Ascomycota; Sordariomycetes; Amphisphaeriales; Sporocadaceae
Description: partial 28S ribosomal RNA
Rfam family: Eukaryotic large subunit ribosomal RNA
Source: RNAcentral